ACGACCACAGGUAGUGGAAAAUACGGGAUCCCGUCCGCUCUCCCUUAGUCAAGCCACUAACCGGCGGAUUAGUAGUUGGGUCGGUGACGACCA
RNAcentral lists this ribosomal RNA (93 nucleotides) under Fusarium pseudograminearum CS3096. Lineage: Eukaryota; Fungi; Ascomycota; Sordariomycetes; Hypocreales; Nectriaceae. The record is from RNAcentral.